CAGAGGGGGCGAGCGUUGUUCGGAAUUACUGGGCGCAAAGGGCGCGUAGGCGGCCUUCUAAGUCGAACGUGAAAUCCCCGGGCUCAACCCGGGAACUGCGUCCGAUACUGGGAGGCUUGAAUCCGGGAGAGGGAUGUGGAAUUCCAGGUGUAGCGGUGAAAUGCGUAGAUAUCUGGAGGAACACCGGUGGCGAAGGCGGCAUCCUGGACCGGUAUUGACGCUGAGGCGCGAAAGCCAGGGGAGCAAACGGGAUUAGAUACCCCGGUAGUCCUGGCCCUAAACGAUGAAUGCUUGGUGUGGCGGGUAUCGAUCCCUGCCGUGCCGAAGCUAACGCAUUAAGCAUUCCGCCUGGGGAGUACGGUCGCAAGGCUG
RNAcentral lists this ribosomal RNA (372 nucleotides) under uncultured organism. Its description in RNAcentral is "bacterial SSU rRNA". It matches the Rfam family "Bacterial small subunit ribosomal RNA", at positions 526 to 896 of the family's 1533-position model. The record is from RNAcentral.